This 3323-nucleotide long non-coding RNA is filed under the name Nicotiana tabacum (common tobacco). RNAcentral's name for it is "long non-coding RNA (NTAB_LNC014205)". Lineage: Eukaryota; Viridiplantae; Streptophyta; Magnoliopsida; Solanales; Solanaceae. The record is from RNAcentral.
GUGAUGACACCUAUCGUGAAACUAGGCUAACCGACACAAUUCCCGAAUUAACCAUUAUUCAAUAAAAGUCAUUUUUAAGUCUUUAGUUAAUCAAAUAUUUCAUAAUGUAAGUCUAAAUGAACAAUGCAGAAUAAAUACACAAGCCCGACAUCGGGGUGUCACAAAUCAUUAGCAUCUACUAAGGUCUGAAUACAACAAAGAGUCUAAAAAUAUACUAAAAACAAUCUAAGGAAGACAAGAGGGAGAAGAGCAGGAUUGCGAACAUCGGGCAGCUACCUUGCUAACUCUGACGACUCUACCACUGAGCAAUCAACAUCCACUACCGGGUUCAGAAAUACCAGAAUCUGCACGCAAGGUGCAGGGAGUAAUGUGAGUACGCCAACUCAGUAAGUAAUAAAAGUAAAUGAAAGUUGAGCAAUAAGAAAACACGUAAACCACGUCAUAACGCUACAACAAAUGCAGUACAUUUUCAAAACAGUACAGAAAUCAUUUACUUCGUAAAUAAAGUUCAGUUUCAGUAAAACCUUUUAAAACAACUUUCAAUAUUUUCAAAUGAGUAAUGAAAACAAUGAGAAAAGAAUAGAAAUAUAAACAACCCCUCGGGCAAAACAUAUACCACAACCGUCACUCGGAAAAAAUAUCAACAGAACUAGCCCCUCGAGCAAUAACAUGAAAUAACAACAGCCCCUCAAGCAAUAACAUGAAAUAACAACAGCCCCUCGGGCAAUAACAUGAAACAACAACAGCCCCUCGGGAAAUAUCACAUCUCACACUGGGUACCCCGCUCACUGGGGGUGUGCAGACUCCGGAUGGGCUCCUACAGCCCAAACUCUAUAACAAGCCAUCUCGUGGCAUAUUCAAAUUGGCCCUCGGCCUCAUAACAAGCCACCUCGUGGCAUAACAAAUCAGGCCCUCAGCUUUAUGAUCAUGAAUUAGUACAACACUGCUGCAGCGCGCAGCCUAAUCCCAUAAUAUCCUCACAACACAGGCUCUCGGCCUCACUCAGUCAGAAAUCUGUCAAGCCACUCGGCCAACAGUAAAACAUGAUGCGCAGCCCACAAUAUCAUUUAAAAUAUCAAAACGGAGUAAAUAUGGCUUGUCACACCUCCUUUUUUCCUACACCCCCGAAACGGGUAUAAAGAGGAGUUUUUUCCAACUUAAAGUGACAAUCGAAACUGGAUUAUUUAUUUAUUAAAUUCAGAGUCGACACUUGGGAUAAUUUAUGGUGUCCCAAGUCACCGGUUCAAAUCCCGAAUCGAGGAAAGGAUUGACUCUGUAUUACAAUCCGCGAUCCAGAAAUCCGGGUAAGGAAUUCUGUUAACCCGGGAGAAGGUGUUAGGCAUUUCCGAGUUCAGUGGUUCUAGCACGGUCGUUCAACUGUUAUAAUUGGCCUAUUAUCUGAUUUCAACACAUGUUUUAACCUAUGGUUCAAUUUUGACCUAAUAACCGCUUUUAUUUAAUUAAUUAAAGGAAGAAUGCAACGUCAUUUAAAAUAUGUUUCAAACCACGUCACAUAAAUGCACCCGCAAUUCGCAACACAUUUCAGCUAACGUUGAGACUUGGAUUUGGGUCACAUAAAUGCACACCCGAGUUUAGGAAGGUGAAUUAUUAAAGUAACGCGCCUAAAGAAACUACGCGUUUGCAACUUUGCAAGGGCCAUGAAAAUUCGCUAAACGGCACACCUCGAUUUCUAAGGAUAAACAAGAUUAAUUAAAACAAGGGCCAUGCAAUUGUAAUUUUUAUUUAUGGCCCACGUCGAGUCCAAAUUCAAAAGGGGGUUAAUUAAUAAGAAAAUCUUAAAUUCUAGAAUAGUCCAAUCUGCGAGUUGAAAAACGCCAACUUUCAGAAGUUCCAAAAAAGAGCCAAUGACCCCACUAUGCUUCACUUUACUCCAAAACUCCACUAACAGCUGCUAGUGCUACUAUUAACUUUAACAAAAUAAUGUAGCUUUACCAUGUUCAUAUUAUUGAUUAUUUCCAGAAUCCCAAGUAUAUUAAAAUCAUCCACCUUCAUUUUAGUAGUAAUUUGAGCAAAUACUCGUUCAAUUCUCACUCUCUAAGUCUCAGAUAUGCUAGUGCAAUCAACGAAGAAAGAAAAUAGAAGUGCAAAAGUUGCUAAUCAAGCAUCCAAUUAUAGUAUCUAACAUUCGGAUUCAAAUUUCAAGACCAGUCACUAACACAAUUCAGUAAUCACUAACACAAUUUCCGUAAUAGCUGCUUGUAAGGAAAUUACUUCUUCAACCAAUUAGGCAUCACCAAAGAAUUGUACCAAACCAACUAAUAAUAAUGUAGCACAAAUGAAGCCAACAGAUAUUUUCCAAAGAGAUUAAACGCAGCUUCAUUCAAAUCGGAACAAGAGAAUGUCAUGAAAACGUAAGAUGUCACCAUACUGGGUCUCAAAUGCCAAGCUCAUUGAACUGUCACUUGGGUGCCAAACUCAAUGGUUUCGGAACAAAAAUUGCUACCAGAUUUGCGAAAUGUUUGUGUUAUAAUUACAUGAAAAAUGUGUAACCCUUUUCAUCAAUUGUAAUAAACCAGAACUUUAUGGUCAAUCAUCAUCCGAUUAAACUAUUUUAGUACAAUUUCUGAGGAGAAAAGAAGAUUGUAUAAGUUCAGAAUGCAAAUUGCUGUCUACUGAACACCCAGGCCACUUCCUUUCGAACCAUGUAAGCAAAAUUCAUUUCAGGAUCACAUUUUCAAUUCAAAACAUCAUUAAUAGGCAUAAGAUUCUCACAAGUCUGCCAUCCACGCAUCAUACAAGACAAGAUCAACAAGUAAAGGGGUAAAAUGGCGACAGACCUGAGAUAUGUUUCCAAUUAAUGAAACUCUAGGAAUUACACAGAGCGAGGCAACAAUUACAGCCGAAAAUCGACACAAAUGCGAACGAAAUCAGCAAAAUCGAACCGGAUCUUCGGAUUUGAACCUGCAACAGCAACCCCAGGCAGAAACUCAAAUCGGCUCAGUCGAACUCCAUUUGUUUCAGAGCUAAUUUUGGACUAAUUUUGAAGCUGUUUCGUGACUUUUCUGUGUGGAUCUGUCGGAGUGAAAUUGGUGGAGGAUUACAUGGUCACUGGAUGGGAAGAUGGCGUUAAGGUUUGAAGCUCGCCGGAGAUGGAUUUUGAGAAGAGGGAGCGGCGUGAGCAGAUGGUCGUUGAUGGGGGUCUUGUUUUGGCUGGGAAGAUGGAGUUACAGGGAGGUGGGGGUCGCGUAGACGAUCUGAGUGAGGGGUCUGUAUUGUGCGCAGCUUUUUCCCAGCUUUUCCCCGUUAUCCACUUCUCUCUAGCUGAUUGUAGGCAUUAUAUAUAUAAUAUAGGUCUAGGUUUU